UGAGGAAUAUUGGGCAAUGCCCGCAAGGGUGACCCAGCAACGCCGCGUGGAGGAUGAAUGUCGUAAGAUUGUAAACUCCUGUUAGAGGGGAAGAAUAGUACCGGUUGGACCGGUAUAUGACUGUACCCUCAGAGAAAGCCCCGGCUAACUACGUGCCAGCAGCCGCGGUAAUACGUAGGGGGCAAGUGUUGUCCGGAUUUACUGGGUGUAAAGGGCGCGCAGGCGGGAUAAAAAGUCAGUGGUGAAAUCCUACAGCUUAACUGUAGAACUGCCUUUGAUACUUUUAUUCUUGAGUUCGGGAGAGNGAGACGGAAUUCCAGGUGUAGUGGUGAAAUACGUAGAUAUCUGGAAGAACACCAGUUGCGAAGGCGGUCUCUUGGUCCGACACUGACGCUGAGGCGCGAAAGCGUGGGGAGCAAACA
RNAcentral lists this ribosomal RNA (422 nucleotides) under uncultured bacterium. Its description in RNAcentral is "bacterial SSU rRNA". It matches the Rfam family "Bacterial small subunit ribosomal RNA", at positions 355 to 774 of the family's 1533-position model. The record is from RNAcentral.